This 3963-nucleotide ribosomal RNA is filed under the name Komagataella phaffii GS115. RNAcentral's name for it is "eukaryotic LSU rRNA". The stretch from base 1 to 1731 matches the Rfam family "Eukaryotic large subunit ribosomal RNA", at positions 1322 to 3401 of the family's 3401-position model. The record is from RNAcentral. Lineage: Eukaryota; Fungi; Ascomycota; Pichiomycetes; Pichiales; Pichiaceae.
AUGGCGCUAAGCGUGCUACCUAUACCCUGCCGGAAGAAACAGAAAAGCUCUCCGAGUAAGGCAGGCGUGGGGGUGGUGUGGAAGGGUGCUUGUGAAGGUGCCUGGAACCGCCCCUAGUGCAGAUCUUGGUGGCAGUAGCAAUAUUCAACGGAGCCGUUGAAGACCGAAGUGGGGAAAGGUUUCCACGGGAAGGGAGAUCCUCCGUGGGUGAGACGGUCCUAAGGGCGCGCGUACGGUAGCGUCCGAAAGGGAAGACAGUCAAGAUUCUGUCUCCGGGGGAAUGAGUGGUGACACGAGACGGCCAAAGACGGUGGCGGAAGGCGUAGGAGGAGUUUUCUUUUUCUUCUUAAGGGCGUUGUGCCUGGAUGGUUUAGCCGGCGAAGGGCAGUAAAACCCGAAGAGCGUGCCCCUAGUUGGUGCGUCUACGCAUCUCCGACAUCCCGUGAAAAUUGGUUUAUUUAUGUUUAUUUCCCCGCCCGUACUGACAACCGCAGCAGGUCUCCAAGGUGAACAGCCUCUGGUGAUAGAACAAUGUAGAUAAGGGAAGUCGGCAAAUUGGAUCCGUAACCUCGGGACAAGGAUUGGCUCUGGGGGUCGCUUUAUCGACCAACCCCAGAACUGGUACGGACAAAGGGAAUCUGACUGUCUAAUUAAAACAUAGGGUGGUGCGAGUCCCAACGGAUGUGCACACCACCUGAUUUCUGCCCAGUGCUCUGAAUGUCAAAGUGAAGAAAUUCAUCCAAGCGCGGGUAAUACGGCGGGAGUAACUAUGACUCUCUUAAGGUAGCCAAAUGCCUCGUCAUCUAAUUAGUGACGCGCAUGAAUGGAUUAACGAGAUUCCCACUGUCCCUAUCUACUAUCUAGCGAAACCACAGCCAAGGGAACGGGCUUGGCGCGUCAGCGGGGAAAGAAGACCCUGUUGAGCUUGACUCUAGUUUGGGCCGUGGGGGAACAUGGGGGGUGUAGUAUAGGGGGGAGCCGUUUCGGCGGCGCCCGUGAAAUACCCCCACCCCUAUAGUUCCUCCACUAAUCGCAGAGAAACCUCCAGGCGGGGAGUUUGGCUGGGGCGGCACAUCUGUUAAACCAUAACGCAGAUGUCCCAAGGGGGGCUCAUGAAGAACAGAAAUCUUCAGCCGAGCAAAAGGGCAAAUGCCCCCUUGAUUUUGAUUUUCAGUGUGAAUACAAACCAUGAAAGUGGUGGCCUAUCGAUCCUUUACACCCUUCAGACCCUGAGGCUAGAGGUGCCAGAAAAGUUACCACAGGGAUAACUGGCUUGUGGCAGUCAAGCGUUCAUAGCGACAUUGCUUUUUGAUUCUUCGAUGUCGGCUCUUCCUAUCAUACCGAAGCAGAAUUCGGUAAGCGUUGGAUUGUUCACCCACUAAAUAGGGAACGUGAGCUGGGUUUAGACCGUCGUGAGACAGGUUAGUUUUACCCUACUGAUGAGCCCCACGGCAGUAAUUGAACUUAGUACGAGAGGAACCGUUCAUUCGGACAUUUGGUUUUUGGGGCUGCCUGACAAAGCAGCCCGACGCUACGUCCGUCAGAUCAUGGCUGAACGCCUCUAAGUCAGAAUCUGUGCUGGGGUGGGGAGGAGUGUACAAGAAGGAUAUAUUUUCAUAGCAGCAUUCCACAAUCUCCCGCCCACGACUUGACCCCGACAGGGUAUUGUACGCAGAAGAGUGGCCUUGCCGUCACGAUCUGCUGAGAUUAAGCCCCGGUCGAGCGAUUGGAACUUCCAUACCGAAGGACGAGCCUAGACCCCACCGAGCGCAGCGAAGGUGGUGGUCGUGGCUCGUUCCGAAGACGGUUAACCAAGCGGUACCAAGCGAGCGCAGCGACGCUGGUUGGUGAACUUGUAUUCUUCCACCAACAGUCAACCACCAGUCAACUACCCACCAAGCGUACCAAGCAACCGCAACAACGCUGGUUGGUGAACGCAAAAUCUCCACCAGUCAACCACGCCCCGUCGUACCCCGACAGACCCUCCUUGUUGAGUCCAACAGGCGGCCCUGUCCUGCUCCGCUCCCGUGGCCUGCCGUUCCAUUGACCACCUGGAUCUGUGAGGAUUGUCCUGGACUUGAGAUUCUCCUUAGAAGUCCUCACGUGACACCUCCACUUCCAAAAAACUGUCCCACCUGGACUUGCACUUGCACUUGCACGCACUUGAAAAACUAUAGGAACUUGAGACCUUCACCUGACCUCACCUUGACUCCCUCAGCAUCACCCCCCAGCUGCGCUCCGCUCGCCGGACCAUCUCCCCGCCGGAUAGUCUCCCGCGGUUGGACUUGCCAUCAUCUUGACUCCCCCAGCUGCGCUCCGCUCGCCGGAUGAUCUCCCGCCGGAUAGUCUCCCGCGGUUGGACUUGUUGUUUUUUUCUCUUGCCGCAGAGUUUUUCUCCAGCUUACAUAAUACACAUCCCAGAUAAGAUAAGAUACCAGACAAAAGAAGACACCAACAAGAUAAGACCACACAUUACGCGUGGACCGUGUACUAAACACGUCCAGUCGACGCGUCAGUCUCAACAUCAUCAUGCCGAGUGCCGAUCAAAGACCAACCGAAAGCCGACGACACCAACCAACCCGUCCUGGACUCGAACCUGGAACUCAGUCAACCUCAAGUUCUGAGCCAUCUGAAUGACCAGGCUCGAACCUAGUACUACGCCUGGAUCGCCAAAAACGACUGCGUCGCAAGCUUUCCCAGUUGUCCACUAGGCCACAAGAGUGGAUUCGAAAUAUUCUUGCUAAGCUGGGCCAAGUCAGGUUGGGUUUUUGACACGUGAGUAGUCAUGUGAUCCACAUUAGAAUCCAAUUAUCUCUACAACCAGACAUGGUGGCCACAAGUUAGCUAUUACGUUGUGGUUGCAAGGUGAUACUCCAUUGCACUGAACCCACCAAUUGGAGUUUGCUAGGAAAAAGUGAGAAAAAUACCCUAAAUAUUUUGAAAAGUCAACUAGUAAUCUUUGGAAGAGUUGUGAGAAAAUCUUAAAAACGAAAAAAAUGAAAAUGAAUUUUCAACAUCCUUAAAUAUUAGGAAAAACGGUAACCUAACUACAUGGAUCGAAAGAGUGGGUCAUGAGGAGUCGAAUGGUAGUGCAAUCUUCUGGCUACUGUGUCUGUAGACCCCAAGUUUUGUCGUUUGAAAUUUUUCUGCUUACAUAACUGUUUACGUAACCCGCUUACAUAAUUGUCCAGAUUGCUUACAAAGCUGCUUACCUAACUGGUUUCGAGCUUACAUAAGUGUUCAAAGCUUACAUAAUGGGUCAAUCUGCUUACAUACUGGGCUCGAGCUUACAUAAGUAUUCAAAGCUUACAUAAUGGUCGAAGCUUACAUAACUGGGCUCGAGCUUACAUAAGUAUUCAAAGCUUACAUAAUAGAUCAAUCUGCUUACCUAACUGGUCUCGAGCUUACAUAAUGGCCAAAGCUUACAUAACAGUUUACGUAAACCACAAGCUUACAUAAUGGCCAAAGCUUACAUAACAGUUUACGUAAACCACAAGCUUACAUAACAGUUUACGUAAACCACAAGCUUACAUAAUGGUCAAAGCUUACAUAACAGUUUACGUAAACCACAAGCUUACAUAAUGGUCAACCGCUUACAUAAGUGCUCACUUACAUAAGCGUUCACUACAUAGCAUUCACCACCUCAACCCAUUUUGGUGUAUUCUGAUGUUGGGGUUCUCAAACUCCGGAUCAGGGCCUGAACCGCAGAAAUCAGCGCUUUCCCCGCCUGGGAUUUGCAUGUUUGCCCUGUAAUCUAAAGUUCCCCUUCCAGCGAAACAUUCUUCCCGCCCAGAAUGCCCAGCAAGGCAAUUCGCGGAUACUUGUCCCAUCUCACGGUCUGAAAAAUCGUAAGUCGAAAUCGCACAUUUGUUAGGGACGUCUCGCGCACACCAGACUCCUAACAAACAGUCGACCAAUUCACUCCGCUAGUCCACCCAACGCAUAUCCACCUAGUCUAGUUUU